CCUACGGGUGGCAGCAGUGAGGAAUAUUGGUCAAUGGACGAGAGUCUGAACCAGCCAAGUAGCGUGAAGGAUGACUGCCCUACGGGUUGUAAACUUCUUUUAUAUGGGAAUAAAAUGCUCCACGUGUGGGAUUUUGUAUGUACCAUAUGAAUAAGGAUCGGCUAACUCCGUGCCAGCAGCCGCGGUAAUACGGAGGAUCCGAGCGUUAUCCGGAUUUAUUGGGUUUAAAGGGAGCGUAGGUGGAUUGUUAAGUCAGUUGUGAAAGUUUGCGGCUCAACCGUAAAAUUGCAGUUGAAACUGGCAGUCUUGAGUACAGUAGAGGUGGGCGGAAUUCGUGGUGUAGCGGUGAAAUGCUUAGAUAUCACGAAGAACUCCGAUUGCGAAGGCAGUUCACUGGACUGCAACUGACGCUGAGGCUCGAAAGUGUGGGUAUCAAACAGGAUUAGAUACCCCAGUAGUC
This 460-nucleotide ribosomal RNA is filed under the name uncultured bacterium. RNAcentral describes it as "partial 16S ribosomal RNA". It matches the Rfam family "Bacterial small subunit ribosomal RNA", at positions 338 to 795 of the family's 1533-position model. The record is from RNAcentral.